GAGGUCCUGCCCCCUGCUUGUGCGGGCUGGAGCGGGCCGGGACACGCAGACACCGGAGCUCCUGCUGCUUGAAGGCUGCGCCAGCCCAAGGCCCGGACGGGGGCUGCUGUUAAUGUUUGGUGAAGUGACUGUUGAAGACGGCUGGUUCGCCUGAGUCAAGGGCCUAAGUAAGAAACUAAUUCAUAAACCAAAGUUGGCUUGAAACAGAGGAACAUGUACUUCAAAACUCCGAUUUUACCUGGAAAGACAACUUUGAUCAAGCACAGGUCACACAUCAAGGAAGGGAGGGACAGUUGGAGGGGAAGAGAUCUAGAUUGGCAGGCAGCCCUCCCUGCACCAUCUCGUUGGAGUCCUGAGGAGACCCGGCCUUGGCUGCAUGGGAGAACUGCUCCUCGAUGCUGGGCAGAACCCAGAGAGAGCUUUCUCCGGUCUUCUGGCUCCCAUAUCAAUCACUUGAGGGGACUCAGGGGCCCUCGCCCCCAUCUGCUUAUGUGGACUCUUCCUUUAUGGCCCUCCUCUUCAACCCCCACCACCGAGACAGACCUCACCAGUAUGGAGAAGACUUAAAAUUUAAAAUGUUCCUGUCCAGCACAAAGGGCAGGUGGUAGAAAAGUCUAACCUCUCUUUAGAGAGAAACCCACUUCUCUCUGGUCUUCAUUUGUCCCUUUUAACUUUGAAUGACUCAUCAAAUCAUUCUGCAAGAGUUGUAGUAACAAAGGAAAAAAGCACCUGAAAGCAGAGAAUGUUGAAACAAUCUCAAAAACAUGACACAGGACACAAUGUUUCAAAACGUGGAUAUUGUUUACUUGAAGCAACAGUCCAGGAUUGUGAAGUACAACACACAUUUUAAGGAUGAGGCUUUCAUUUCAUGGUCAAACACCAGCGUCAUGCACACAGCGUCAGGUUAUUUAACAGCAAUGCCCCUGUGGGGUCCGUUCCCGGACGAAGACCCGCUUCGGUGACGGCCUCCCUCGCUUGCUUCACCACUUUCAGUCGCAGCCAGUCUGAUUGUACGUCGGAGCCUUCCUCCGCGUGAGAGCACCAGGCGGUGCUCACCAGCCAGCC
Long non-coding RNA from Lemur catta (Ring-tailed lemur), 1065 nucleotides. RefSeq lists it as uncharacterized. The record is from RefSeq and is a predicted model, not a curated record. The transcript has 3 exons. NCBI's taxonomy places the organism in Eukaryota, Metazoa, Chordata, Mammalia, Primates, Lemuridae.